CCUACGGGGGGCAGCAGUGGGGAAUAUUGGACAAUGGGGGCAACCCUGAUCCAGCCAUGCCGCGUGUGUGAAGAAGGCCCUCGGGUUGUAAAGCACUUUCAGUGAGGAAGAACGCCUGGUGGUUAAUACCCAUCAGGAAAGACAUCACUCACAGAAGAAGCACCGGCUAACUCCGUGCCAGCAGCCGCGGUAAUACGGAGGGUGCGAGCGUUAAUCGGAAUUACUGGGCGUAAAGCGCGCGUAGGUGGCUUGAUAAGCCGGUUGUGAAAGCCCCGGGCUCAACCUGGGAACGGCAUCCGGAACUGUCAAGCUAGAGUGCAGGAGAGGAAGGUAGAAUUCCCGGUGUAGCGGUGAAAUGCGUAGAGAUCGGGAGGAAUACCAGUGGCGAAGGCGGCCUUCUGGACUGACACUGACACUGAGGUGUGAAAGCGUGGGUAGCAAACAGGAUUAGAUAACCCGGUAGUC
Molecule: ribosomal RNA, 465 nt
Filed under: Vreelandella stevensii
Lineage: Bacteria; Pseudomonadati; Pseudomonadota; Gammaproteobacteria; Oceanospirillales; Halomonadaceae
Description: partial 16S ribosomal RNA
Rfam family: Bacterial small subunit ribosomal RNA
Source: RNAcentral